RNAcentral lists this ribosomal RNA (255 nucleotides) under uncultured bacterium. Its description in RNAcentral is "partial 16S ribosomal RNA". It matches the Rfam family "Bacterial small subunit ribosomal RNA", at positions 524 to 776 of the family's 1533-position model. The record is from RNAcentral.
UACGGGGGGGGGCAAGCGUUGUUCGGAUUUACUGGGCAUAAAGGGCGCGCAGGCGGCCAUUCAAGUCAGGCGUGAAAGCCCCCGGGCUUAACCUGGGAGGUGCGUCUGGGACUGGGUGGCUAGAGAUCGGGAGAGGAGAGUGGAAUUCCCAGUGUAGAGGUGAAAUUCGUAGAUAUUGGGAAGAACACCGGUGGCGAAGGCGGCUCUCUGGACAGUGACUGACGCUGAGACGCGAAAGCGUGGGGAGCAAACAGG